Long non-coding RNA from Brachypodium distachyon (stiff brome), 892 nucleotides. RefSeq lists it as uncharacterized. The record is from RefSeq and is a predicted model, not a curated record. The transcript is spliced from 2 exons. Lineage: Eukaryota; Viridiplantae; Streptophyta; Magnoliopsida; Poales; Poaceae.
UCCGUCGACCGAUUCAUCACGGAUACAAGUUCGAAGGCCUCGGCGCCGUCGAUUGCUAUCUCGAUUCCGGGACGCAGCCAAAUGCAAAUCCUGGAUCUGGACCACUGGAUCCGUUCCAUUUCGUUGCACAUUGGGCGCGCUUCGCCACCAGCAGCCACAGUGUUCCUCCGGUUGUUGUCACUAGCGCUGAAUGAAAGCCUAAUUCCGGGCGCAGAGGAAGUGGGGGCGAGAAAAGGACAUGACAUUGGUUGGCGCAAUAGCUCGACACGAUGGACCUUGGAUGGGAUUACCCGUCCAUUUCUCUUUAUCUCUUCCGCGGUGACGCUGUAAAUGUAUUUCCUUUUUACCUUCCGUUUUUCACCCGGAUCCGGAGGAACACAACACACACUCAUGGCCAUGGCCAGAGCCAGGGACAGCCGGGCAUGGGCGGCACUGCAACACUUGGUCGUUUUCGUGUACGUGUCACUGAGUCAGAUUCCUUGGGACGAACAGAGCCGCCCCCAUGAGGCAGGCCCCAAACGGGUCCGGAUCAGGUCAAAUUCUCCCAUCCCCAAGAAACUCAAAAGCAGAGCAGCUGGAAUGGCAAAGAAGAUCUUUGGAAGCGAUGCAAUGGGUCUUGGUUUUGGUUGGCAUGAUAGAGGAGGAGAAUAUACUACGAAAACGGCAUCAUCAUCCUCGAGGUAUUAGCGUUUUGGCAUGGUCUAACGACUGCUAGGUUCCUCCAUAACUGUUAGUUGGUACACGCUUUUAUCGCAGCCCUUGGCCGUCCAAUCGGAGAACUAGAAAUGGUGGAUUGGAAUCCUGAGUUCGAUUUUUUUUUUCUAGCGCCAGCAUUUCUCCAAGAAAAACAAUGUCUGGGUCUUGUUAUGUACCCGAAGAUUCAUUCACUGAA